Molecule: ribosomal RNA, 503 nt
Filed under: uncultured bacterium
Lineage: Bacteria
Description: partial 16S ribosomal RNA
Rfam family: Bacterial small subunit ribosomal RNA
Source: RNAcentral
GAUGAACGCUGGCGGCGUGCCUAAUACAUGCAAGUCGAACGAAGAUCUAGCUUGCUAGAUCUUAGUGGCGAACGGGUGAGUAAUACAUAAAUAAUCUGCCCAUAUGACUGGGAUGACUAUUGGAAACGAUAGCUAAUACCGGAUAGGUUGAUCGGAGGCAUCUCUGAUGAAUUAAAGUAGGAUUUCUACACAAAUGGAUGAGUUUAUGGCGCAUUAGUUAGUUGGUGGGGUAACGGCCUACCAAGACGAUGAUGCGUAGCCGACCUGAGAGGGUGACCGGCCACACUGGGACUGAGACACGGCCCAGACUCCUACGGGAGGCAGCAGUAGGGAAUUUUCGGCAAUGGGCGCAAGCCUGACCGAGCAACGCCGCGUGAGUGAUUAAGGCCUUCGGGUUGUAAAGCUCUGUUGUAAGGGAAGAACAUUCAGGAUAGGAAAUGAUCUUGAACUGACGGUACCUUACCAGAAAGCCACGGCUAACUACGUGCCAGCCGCCGCCGUAA